This 838-nucleotide long non-coding RNA is filed under the name Ananas comosus (pineapple). RNAcentral's name for it is "long non-coding RNA (ACOM_LNC036988)". The record is from RNAcentral. Lineage: Eukaryota; Viridiplantae; Streptophyta; Magnoliopsida; Poales; Bromeliaceae.
GGGGCGGGGGGUGAGAACAUGUAAACAUGUCUCCCCUCCCAGUGGGUACCGCAAGCCGAAGAAGGCGAGGGGUACUCACUAGUCACGGAGAUAAACAAAUAUAUGGAUAAUGGUAGUACAGUAGCUAAAAUAAACAAGUACUGAAGUGUAUAUAAAUGAACAACUACAGCUACUGUAUGUAUGCAUCAACGGGACAAUCAGUCCAAAAGUACCCAAUCUGAACCCAAUGCUCUCUUGGUCAGCACCGCAGACCUCAAGCCAAUGCCACUACUACUCUCCAGUGCAUAUAACCCCUCUAGGGCUCACGGGUUGUCACCAUUCAACCACUUUUCCGGAAAAGAACACUCCUUGCGGUGGAUCAGACCGCCAGUGUUCGUGAAAUGCGACGAGUAUCGGGCGAUCAAUGCAAUAUGCUCAAUGAUCAACCGUCGGCAACCAGCCGACAAUCCUGCCCCCCAGGGCCCAUCGACCGCAUGGGUCAUCAUGUAACCAAAUCGACCAACCAGGUCACAAGUAUGGAGUAUGAAACUCGACCAACCAGGUCACAAGUAGGGAGUAUGAAACUCGACCAACCAGGUCACAAGUAUGGAGUAUGAAACUCGACCAACCAGGUCAUAGAUACAACAAAGGAGAAUCAACCAACCAGGUCACAAAUAUCACAUGCUGAAGAAAUCUACUCUACUCCUACACAAGAUACUAAACAUGGAAACAACCGAGUAGAGUAAUACGAGAAUAAUAUGGGUGCAAGGCUCAAUAUGUAUAUGAUAAGCAAUGUAAACAGUAAGGGUGGAAGGAACGUCACCGAGCGUGCACCACUGUACCGACGUCGGGUCGAAGU